UACAGAGGGUGCGAGCGUUGUCCGGAAUCACUGGGCGUAAAGGGCGCGUAGGCGGCCUUCUAAGUCAGACGUGAAAUCCCCCGGCUUAACCUGGGAACUGCGUCUGAUACUGGGAGGCUUGAGUAUGGGAGAGGGAUGUAGAAUUCCAGGUGUAGCGGUGAAAUGCGUAGAUAUCUGGAGGAAUACCGGUGGCGAAGGCGGCAUCCUGGACCAUUACUGACGCUGAGGCGCGAAAGCUAGGGGAGCAAACGGG
RNAcentral lists this ribosomal RNA (253 nucleotides) under uncultured bacterium. Its description in RNAcentral is "partial 16S ribosomal RNA". It matches the Rfam family "Bacterial small subunit ribosomal RNA", at positions 524 to 776 of the family's 1533-position model. The record is from RNAcentral.